GACGAACGCUGGCGGCGUGCCUAAUACAUGCAAGUUGAGCGCUGAAGGUUGGUACUUGUACCAACUGGAUGAGCAGCGAACGGGUGAGUAACGCGUGGGGAAUCUGCCUUUGAGCGGGGGACAACAUUUGGAAACGAAUGCUAAUACCGCAUAAAAACUUUAAACACAAGUUUUAAGUUUGAAAGAUGCAAUUGCAUCACUCAAAGAUGAUCCCGCGUUGUAUUAGCUAGUUGGUGAGGUAAAGGCUCACCAAGGCGAUGAUACAUAGCCGACCUGAGAGGGUGAUCGGACACAAUGGGACUGAGACACGGCCCAAACUCCUACGGGAGGCAGCAGGAGGGAAUCUUCGGCAAUGGACGAAAGUCUGACCGAGCAACGCCGCGGGAGUGAAGAAGGUUUUCGGAUCGUAAAACUCUGUUGGUAGAGAAGAACGUUGGUGAGAGUGGAAAGCUCAUCAAGUGACGGUAACUACCCAGAAAGGGACGGCUAACUACGUG
Molecule: ribosomal RNA, 497 nt
Filed under: uncultured bacterium
Lineage: Bacteria
Description: partial 16S ribosomal RNA
Rfam family: Bacterial small subunit ribosomal RNA
Source: RNAcentral